RNAcentral lists this ribosomal RNA (273 nucleotides) under uncultured Staphylococcus sp. RNAcentral describes it as "partial 16S ribosomal RNA". It matches the Rfam family "Bacterial small subunit ribosomal RNA", at positions 89 to 356 of the family's 1533-position model. The record is from RNAcentral. Lineage: Bacteria; Bacillati; Bacillota; Bacilli; Caryophanales; Staphylococcaceae.
ACGUUAGCGGCGGACGGGUGAGUAACACGUGGGUAACCUACCUAUAAGACUGGGAUAACUCCGGGAAACCGGGGCUAAUACCGGAUAAUACAUGAAACCGCAUGGUUUCAUGAUGAAAGACGGUUUUGCUGUCACUUAUAGAUGGACCCGCGGCGUAUUAGCUAGUUGGUAAGGUAACGGCUUACCAAGGCAACGAUACGUAGCCGACCUGAGAGGGUGAUCGGCCACACUGGGACUGAGACACGGUCCAGACUCCUACGGGAGGCAGCAGCG